UCCAGACUCCUACGGGAGGCAGCAGUGGGGGAUAUUGCACAAUGGGGGGAACCCUGAUGCAGCGACGCCGCGUGGGUGAAGGAGCGUUUCGGCGCGUAAAGCCCUAUCGGCAGGGAAGAAGGAGGACGGUACCUGACUAAGAAGCCCCGGCUAACUACGUGCCAGCAGCCGCGGUAAUACGUAGGGGGCAAGCGUUAUCCGGAUUUACUGGGUGUAAAGGGGGCGCAGACGGCAGCGCAAGCCAGGAGUGAAAGCCCGGGGCCCAACCCCGGGACUGCUCUUGGAACUGCGCGGCUGGAGUGCAGGAGGGGCAGGCGGAAUUCCUGGUGUAGCGGUGAAAUGCGUAGAUAUCAGGAGGAACAUCGGUGGCGAAGGCGGCCUGCUGGACUGCGACUGACGUUGAGGCCCGAAAGCGUGGGGAGCAAACAGGAUUAGAUACCCCGGUAA
RNAcentral lists this ribosomal RNA (447 nucleotides) under uncultured bacterium. Its description in RNAcentral is "bacterial SSU rRNA". It matches the Rfam family "Bacterial small subunit ribosomal RNA", at positions 330 to 793 of the family's 1533-position model. The record is from RNAcentral.